Molecule: long non-coding RNA, 449 nt
Organism: Saccostrea echinata
Lineage: Eukaryota; Metazoa; Mollusca; Bivalvia; Ostreida; Ostreidae
Exons: 2
Source: RefSeq, a predicted model, not a curated record
UUCUUACAAUGAUGUCUUGGUUCAAUAAGGGUAUUCUUGCCCCCAGGAAGUUGAGCAGUCAUCAUGUUUAGAAAGAUUUCAUUCCUGAGACUCACAACAGACGUUUUGCUGAAAAUGCUUUACAAUCUCAGGGUGUCAUCAAAUUAAGUAUGAUUUCAAUGGAUGGAAACCCAACAAUUUUACACACAAUUACUUUGUGCAACAGGUGUGCGACAGGGAUUGAAGACGAACGAGAACUUUUUCACAUGACACUUGCUCAGUUUUACUGUACGCGGAUGCUCAUUUUCCAGAACAAACCACUUAGUCUUCUGUUCUGUCCUAAUUGCAGUCACCAAAUUGCAUGCGAUUGCCUUUUUGAUGGAAAGCCUUCAAAGUAGAAGCGGUCAUAGGUCAAACAAUAUAGAGUAAUUGCAAGGCCUAAAAUCUGUCUGUAUGCAUGUUUUCCUUUU